This 406-nucleotide ribosomal RNA is filed under the name Scolytus sinopiceus. RNAcentral describes it as "eukaryotic LSU rRNA". Lineage: Eukaryota; Metazoa; Arthropoda; Insecta; Coleoptera; Curculionidae. The record is from RNAcentral.
AGAGUACGUGAAACCGUUUAGGGGUAAACCUGAGAAACCCGAAAAGUCGAAGGGAGAAAUUCACCGCGGUUCGACGAAGGUGACGUUUCGACGCGUGACUGCGCUCUUCGGACGCGCGGCGCCGUCGAUUCGUUUUUUUAUCGACGACGAACGCGUGCACUUUUCUCCCGGUAGGACGUCGCGAUCCGUUGGGCGUCGGUCUACGGCUGACGGUGGAGACCGCGAGUCGUUUUUCGGAACGUACGCGCGGACCCGUUUGCACCCCGACCGACUCGCUCGACGGUAUACGAACGGUUUGGGGCCGCUUUUAAAGCGUCCGGCCUCGCGGCUUUCGAGCCGCGACGUUCUCGGACAGACCCUAAUCAAAAAACCGAUCUGCGACGCUAUAGCUUUGGGUACUUUCAGG